AAAAAGACAAAUCCUGGGUUUCUGUGUCCAACUUUGACUGUCCGUCUUAUAUGAAAUUUUUUUAUAAUUCGUAUUUUCAUUGUUGUUAGAUGAUAAAACAUGAUUAAUAUUUUAUGCGUGACUUGUCUUUUUAAUUUUUUUCAUAAUUUUUUAAAAUAAGACGGACGGUUAAACGUUUGGCACGGAAAGCAGGGUUCGUCUUUUU
Non-coding RNA from Oryza nivara, 205 nucleotides. The record is from Rfam. NCBI's taxonomy places the organism in Eukaryota, Viridiplantae, Streptophyta, Magnoliopsida, Poales, Poaceae.